Molecule: unclassified non-coding RNA, 289 nt
Filed under: Hevea brasiliensis (rubber tree)
Lineage: Eukaryota; Viridiplantae; Streptophyta; Magnoliopsida; Malpighiales; Euphorbiaceae
Source: RNAcentral
AAUUUUGUCACAAAAACAUUUGAGGAAACUGUUUGAUAUUAUCUGAUAUGAAUUUUAAUGAACUAACAUUCCGACAGGGGACAAGAGUAUCGAGCAAAAUCGGCUGGCCAGUGCGGUACUGCUUGGAGAACUACAGGGGAUGUUAGAGACACCUGGGUGUGGUCCUGCUCAUUUUGAUCGUUAUCUUUCUGGGUUCUGAUCUUAUGUUAAACAGGGUCCUAAGUUGAGGUUCUGUAGUUUGUUAUUUCAGCCACAUCAAUUGCAGAUGAAAACAACAUUUGGGGAAAAU